Molecule: ribosomal RNA, 948 nt
Filed under: Triticum aestivum (bread wheat)
Lineage: Eukaryota; Viridiplantae; Streptophyta; Magnoliopsida; Poales; Poaceae
Description: partial small subunit ribosomal RNA
Source: RNAcentral
AUGUUUCGCUCGAAACAAUGUGUGUUCAUAGGAUAUAGUGCCCAUCACAAAGGCGUUAAAUGUCUUGAUGUGUCCACCGGCCGUGUCUAUAUUUCUCGCGAUGUGGUUUUUGAUGAGACUAAAUUUCCCUUUGCUGAUCUCCAUCCCAAUGCCGGCGCUCUCCUUCGCCAAGAAAUCCUACUUCUUCCACCUAAACUUAGCGGAUUAGAUCAAGGGGGCAACAGUUGUAAUGACCAUACAUUGACUAAUCCUCAUAACCAUCUGCCUGAGCUUUGCUGUGAUACAGAUGCAGAUGCAUUCGGUGAAGAAAACGGCGAAGAAAAUGGCCAAAACGGUCACAAGAUCAGUCCAGAAGGGCAACAUUUUAUGUGUCCACCAUUGGGGGACAGAUCCCCCUUGGGAUCGUUGCCGCAGAAUCUGCCCAGGCAAUCCAACCCGGGAUCCGCGCCAUGCAGCGACGACGUCGCGCAGGAAACUGCGUCACCCGCCAGACGUGACAGCAGCGAACCAGCGGCUGCCGUGCGGCGCACUCCAACUCGUCCCCGCGUGGGUGCUGACCUGCACCAAUCCGUGGCCGACACGCGGCUGCCUGAGAGUCAUUGGGCGCCAGGAGGGCCCCGCUGCUACGAGCGACGACAAACGGCACACGCAUCCACCGGUGCUGAUUCGUCCGGGUCCACGGGCUCGCGAUCCGAUGCUGAUCCUGCCGGCCCGAUGCAAUCAUCCAGUAAUGAUGAGGGUGCGGUAGGUGCGGGAUCUGGCUCGGGAUCCUCUGCGCCACUUCUACCACACCCGCCACGUCCUGAUGCCAUAGAAAAUCCGGACGCACCUGACGGGGCUGCACCUGCGCCAGGGGGAUCUGCUUCGGGAUUGAGGACAGGAUCUUCUGCGCCACGGCCUGCUGCUGCAUCUCCUGUACAACCACGCACACGGCUCCAAAAGGGGUAA